ACCUAGGUGCUCAGCUCUGAGAUGUGUCACAACAUUGCCCAAUACAGGCAGGCCACAGGCGGGAGAGUCACAUUUCCUGGGUGCUUGGCCCAGUGGUAUGUCACAUUUCCUUAUGUAGGAAGGGCACACGUAGCAAGAGAGAGUCACAUUACCUAGGUACUGUGCUAGAGCUAUCAGUCUCUGUGUCGUUCAAUGUGAGAGUUAUGAUCUCUUUAGACAUCCAUGUAACAGAGCCUCAACUCCUUCAUCCUCAGAUGUAAAGGCUAGUGAAGACCAAAUAAGCCUUGAAAGGUAAUUCCCCUAAAAAGGCAGAAUGUCUUAGGCUUUGGCCUCUCCCCUUCAAGCACAAUGAGAUCAUAACCUCUCUUUUGACUUCUCACUAUGCCCAGCACUGGAACAAAGCUCCUGACUCCACACCCUCACCUUUCCACCCUUGUGCCUUCACUGGGCAGACAAGAGAUGAGAAGACCUGAACUCUGGGACAGUCUGGGGAGAAAAGAAUCCAAAAAGGGUUGAGGCGGCAAGGGCUGAGCUCCCACGGGUGCCCCGGCCCAAAGGUGCAGGUCCAGGCUGUUUUCCAGGUGGCAUUCAGUGCAGGUUCUUCAAUGCCACUGGAAGGCAUGAAAAACCCACUGUAGCUGCUGCUGCUUCCUUUUCUUAAGCUGUGAAAAUGCAAACACUUUUUCAAGGUUUUCAGAUAUGCCCAGGUACCCCCAACUGAAAAGGAGGAUAAUGGCAUUGUUCAUCAUGGCUUAUUGUCUUGCCCAGGCAGGAGCCAGCCCCUGACUCGCCAAUCCAGCUGCCCCAGGCUGGAGGUGAUCCUUUCGAGCCUCCUCCCUGCAACUCCACUCCUCUUUUUUCUCUUCCUCAACCACCGGCAUACUUUUGGUCAUCCUCCUUGUUGUCACAAUGGGGGCGUGAUGCCAUAAAGACCUGGGAACCCCAAUGAUCUCAGGUCCCGCAGGGGUCAGGUGAGCAUAUAGGAAGUCCAGAAGGACAGUCAUCUGCCACCUCCAGUUGAAAAAGAACAAAACCCUCGCACUCCAGAAAUGAGUCAAGAACCCAGCGAAGGCCACAGGUCUAGCCCACAACCACCUAGGUAUGUGGGGUCCUCCAAGGCUCACGCUUGUGUCCUGCAGGCUGGAGCCCAUGCGAGGGUCUGCAGUCUUUGUUCCGGAUGGGGAACUACUGCUUCAGCUGGUUACCCAGGUGUCCCCGAUGGGGAAAGGAAGGAAAUGGUGAGAAUCUUCAGCACAACGGAUCACAUCACCCUGGCAGAGACCAGUCCGGCCUGUGCAUGGCACCAGCAGCCGCAGGCUAGAGGCAGUCAUGUCAGGCCUCCUCCAUACAGCAUCUCUCCUGCUUUUUUUUCAAACGGCCCUAAUCACUUAAUUUGGUCAUCUUCCCUGUCACAAUGGGGCACCUGGCGCUAUAGACACUUGGGAAACACACAGAUCUGGGGUCCUACAGUGUCCAGGUGAAGACGCCGGGAGUCAGAGAGGAAAGUCUUUUGAAGCCUCCAAAAGGAAUGCACAGGACCCCACUUGAAGAGGUGGAGUGCCCAGUGGCGGAUACAGGCCCCACACAUCGCAGCAGUAAACAGGGACUCCACGGUGUCCAGCUCUCCAGCCUGGGGUUUCUCAUCACCCAGUGAUUCCAAAAGAAACGAUCUACAAUGGCAUGACUAAGUUCCAGAAACAAAUAAACAAAAUACUGAGGGAAGCCCGUUGGUCACUUUGAUUCUUCAAAGGUGACAAUUGUCCCUCCCUGAAAUCUUGUGAGUGCAUGAACAGGCUAUUCUAAUGUAAAUGAAAUUCACACUAAAACUGAUUGAAAGAUGAUUCUGUUUCCAAGGUACUUUGUAUUCUCAAAUUGCACCUGCUUACCCUGGCCCCCUCAAAAUGGAAGAGUGAUGACUAUUUGUCUUCGUAGCACUGUGGGGACACAGAGCCUUAAAUGGAAGAGUGUCAAAAGCAACAUUCCAUAAAGGGCUGUCACUUCCAAUUUUCAAGCAAGGUUGGAAACCAACCAUGAUGUAUGAAACACUGUUGGCCAAAGUGCACAAUUAGUAAUACAAAAUGAAUAAUAUAAACUAUUGUAAAUAUGUGUGGACAUCGUGGCAAUUUGGACAUCAAAAAACACUGCCAAAUUCAGAAAGAGGAAGCUGUAAACUCAUGGCUGUUAGGAAGCUUAACUUCUGUGUACUAGAACCUAUCAAAAUUAAAUUUCUCCAUGUCAA
Molecule: long non-coding RNA, 2239 nt
Organism: Homo sapiens (human)
Lineage: Eukaryota; Metazoa; Chordata; Mammalia; Primates; Hominidae
Source: Ensembl